Molecule: long non-coding RNA, 675 nt
Organism: Myodes glareolus (Bank vole)
Lineage: Eukaryota; Metazoa; Chordata; Mammalia; Rodentia; Cricetidae
Source: RefSeq, a predicted model, not a curated record
UCCUCAGACUGAGAUGAAGGAGCCUCUGUCUCUUGGGGCCCCUGCCUGAUUAGACAUGGCUGCCACAGCAGCUUCUCACUUGCACUCAGGCACUGAGAGAAGAAAGGCCCAAGGCCUCCGGGCUGAAAGUAGCUGGCCUGAGGUCUCAUCAGGGACUGGCCACCUGCCUUCUCAUCUCUCUCAAAAAGCAGCUGCCUGAGGACUCCAGGAUGACAGCAAACCGGAUGCCGCUCCAGUCACUCCUCUUGCUGAGCGUGAGCAUGUCAACUCUCAGCUCUCCCCUCUCCCUCCUCACCCCAUGCCCGCAGGAAGUAGCCAGACUUGAGUCAACGCCCCUUUAUCCGAAGAGAGCCUAAAAUGUUGGUCAUAAAUAUCACCUCAGCUUCUUGUUACACCCCUAUAUUCAAAGAGUCUGGAAUGUAAUAUUAAGUUGGGGGCAUCACCCAGCCCCUGGCAGUCAUCCUUGGGGUGCCAAUGGAGCAUCACUGAAGUGGAAAGCUCCAUCUCAGGCCCCACCCCCUGGAAGUUGCCUUGGGCCUGACUCCACCUCUGGGAAAGCCCGCCAAAUGCUGACCCCUCCCAAGGGAGGGUCAGGACCACUCCCACUGGCUCUUUAGGCUCCCAUGGCCACCCGAGAGCGCUGCAUUUAUUAAACGCGGCAUUUCUAAUUUGGUC